GACGGAAAGACCCUAUGCACCUUUACUAUAGCUUAGUAUUGGGUUUGGUUACAACAUGCGUAGGAUAGGUGGGAGACUACGAAGCGGGCCUUGCGGGGCUCGUGGAGUCAAUGGUGAAAUACCACCCUUAUCGUCAUGGAUGUCUAACCGCGGCAUUACAGUGUCCGGGACAGCGUAUGGUGGGUAGUUUGACUGGGGCGGUCGCCUCCCAAAGAGUAACGGAGGCGCGCGAAGGUUCCCUCAGGUUGAUUGGAAACCAACCGUUUAGUGUAAUGGCAUAAGGGAGCUUGACUGCGUGACACACAAGUCGAGCAGGUACGAAAGUAGGUUUUAGUGAUCCGGCGGCACCGAGUGGAAGGGCCGUCGCUCAAAGGAUAAAAGGUACGCUAGGGAUAACAGGCUGAUCUUCCCCAAGAGUUCACAUCGACGGGAAGGUUUGGCACCUCGAUGUCGGCUCAUCGCAUCCUGGGGCUGGAGAAGGUCCCAAGGGUUUGGCUGUUCGCCAAUUAAAGCGGUACGCGAGCUGGGUUCAAACCGUCAAGAAGCUUUAUAUAAAGGCUUUUCGACCGUUUGAACCCGAGGAAAAGACAUCAUCAUGGCGGCCUUAGAGAGUGAUCUCUAAGUGCGAAACUGACUCAUAUCGAUGAAGUCCUGUUGCAUGACAAACCGUCAUAUGAUAGGAUAAUAUCGAGGGAAGUCGUGUAUGCUUAAAUCUAUUUCGUCAACUAAAAAAUCUUAUCUGGCUGGUUUCUUGGAUGCUGAUGGAAGCAUUUAUGUGCAAGCAAAACCAAACAAAACUUAUCGUUUUGGUUUUCAAAUUGCGCCUUACAUUGUUUUCUAUCAAUCCCAGAAAGACGCUGAAUCUUUUUCUCGUGUGUGCUCCUUGAUUCAAAUGGGACAUAAGCGGUUGAGAAAAGAUGGCAUCGUCGAAUAUAUAAUCAGCAAACAGGAAGAGAUAAUAUCCUUUAUAAAAUUGGUUGAGCCAUACGUGAUAAUGAAAAAAUCACAAGUAGCUCUAUUGAAAAGGAUUAUUGCUUUGAAACAAAGAUCAAGAACCAGAAAAGAUUUUGAACAGUUGAUAAUCACAAUAGAUAAAUUUCGGGAAUUGAAUUAUUCCAAGAAAAGAAAAAAGCGUACAUUGACCCCGUAGAGACUAAACGUCGGUCUCCCGAAACAUUUCGGGAUGAAGGUAUAGUCCGUGCACAUAGUAAUAUGUGAUAUACAUGCGUGAGACAGGUUGGUCUCUAUCUGCCGUAGGCGUCGUUGCUUGAGAGGAGUCUUUCCUAGUACGAGAGGACCGGAAAGAACGAACCUCUGGUGUACCAGUUGUUCCUGCCAAGGGCACCGCUGGGUAGCUAAGUUCGGAAGGGAUAAUCGCUGAAAGCAUCUAAGCGAGAAGCCCACCUCAAGAUAAGGCAACUGCAGUGCGAAGCACUGGAAUUUUGAAAAUCGAAUUUUGAAUUUCGAAUGAAUUUUUAAUGAUUUAAUUUUUAAUAAUUGAAACAUUAUAACAUUCGAAUUUGAUUCAAAAUUAGAAAUUAUAAAUUCGAAAUUUCAGCGCUUCGCGCUGUGCAACUUCCUGGGAGAAGACCAGGUUGAUAGGCUCUAGGUGUAAGUCCAGCGAUGGAUUGAGCCAAGGAGUACUAAUAUGUUGAAGAUUUACCCUC
This 1667-nucleotide ribosomal RNA is filed under the name Candidatus Moraniibacteriota bacterium. Its description in RNAcentral is "partial 23S ribosomal RNA". It matches the Rfam family "Bacterial large subunit ribosomal RNA", at positions 2079 to 2925 of the family's 2925-position model. Lineage: Bacteria; Candidatus Moraniibacteriota. The record is from RNAcentral.